This 465-nucleotide ribosomal RNA is filed under the name uncultured bacterium. RNAcentral's name for it is "partial 16S ribosomal RNA". It matches the Rfam family "Bacterial small subunit ribosomal RNA", at positions 28 to 507 of the family's 1533-position model. The record is from RNAcentral.
GACGAACGCUGGCGGCGUGCUUAACACAUGCAAGUCGAACGGAAAGGCCCUGCUUGCAGGGUACUCGAGUGGCGAACGGGUGAGUAACACGUGGGUGAUCUGCCCUGCACUUCGGGAUAAGCCUGGGAAACUGGGUCUAAUACCGGAUAGGAGCCAUUUUUAGUGUGAUGGUUGGAAAGUUUUUUCGGUGUAGGAUGAGCUCGCGGCCUAUCAGCUUGUUGGUGGGGUAAUGGCCUACCAAGGCGGCGACGGGUAGCCGGCCUGAGAGGGUGGAGGGCCACAUUGGGACUGAGAUACGGCCCAGACUCCUACGGGAGGCAGCAGUGGGGAAUAUUGCACAAUGGGCGCAAGCCUGAUGCAGCGACGCCGCGUGGGGGAUGACGGCCUUCGGGUUGUAAACUCCUUUCGCUAGGGACGAAGCUUUUUGUGACGGUACCUAGAUAAGAAGCACCGGCUAACUACGUG